This 485-nucleotide long non-coding RNA is filed under the name Salmo salar (Atlantic salmon). RNAcentral's name for it is "lncRNA (ENSSSAG00000104030.1)". Lineage: Eukaryota; Metazoa; Chordata; Actinopteri; Salmoniformes; Salmonidae. The record is from RNAcentral.
CUGACCUUAAACUGCAAGGGGAAAAAGAAUAUCCAUACAUAACCGCAGCACUAAGGCAACGGGAGGGGGGCCUGGCACGCCGGAGCUCUCCCAAAUGGACCAGCGCAUUGGGGAAAGCGCAUACACCGGCACAUGCUCCGACAGCGACAGUGAAUGUUUAAAAAAAGAUGACGGGAUGAGAGGGGAAAAGAAUCUCCUGUUCACCCUAACAAUGACAGGAGUGUUACACGGAGAUCGGCCCAUGUAUCUCUCUCACACUGAGGGCCGCUGAGAGGGUCCGUUUGACUUCAGCUGUUGAACUACAGUAUAGAAUAAGAUCCAGUGAGCAGCUCCGUUUAUAGUAUUUUAUUUUACCCAGAAUUCACUAGUGUCUAUGUUUUGUUUUUACCAUCUCUUUAAGUAAUUUUUAAUUAUUGUUUCUAUUGUAUUUUAUUUUAUUUUAUUCUAGAUUUUACUUUUAUUUGAAUAAAAUACUUCAACUGCAC